CCUACGGGUGGCAGCAGUGAGGAAUAUUGGUCAAUGGGCGCUAGCCUGAACUAGCCACGUAGCGUGAACGAUGACUGCCCUCUGUGUUGUAAACUUCUUUUGUAUGGGAAUAAAUUGCGGUAUGUAUACUGCUUUGCAUGUCCCUUAUGAAUAAGGCUCGGCUAACUCCGUGCCAGCAGCCGCGGUAAUACGGAGGUUGCGAGCGUUAUCCGGAUUUAUUGGGUUUAAAGGGUGCGUAGGCGGGUGGGUAAGUCAGUUGUGAAAGUUUGGGGCUCAACCGUAAAAUUGCAGUUGAUACUGGCGUGCUGGAGUGUAGGAGGGGUAGGUGGAAUUCGUGGUGUAGCGGUGAAAUGCGUAGAUAUCACGAAGAACUCCGAUGGCGAAGGCAGCUUGCUGGACUGUAACUGACGCUGAUGCUCGAAAGCGUGGGGAUCAAACAGGAUUAGAUACCCCUGUAGUC
RNAcentral lists this ribosomal RNA (460 nucleotides) under uncultured bacterium. Its description in RNAcentral is "partial 16S ribosomal RNA". It matches the Rfam family "Bacterial small subunit ribosomal RNA", at positions 338 to 795 of the family's 1533-position model. The record is from RNAcentral.